AAAAGAACUUUGAAGAGAGAGUUCAACAGUACGUGAAACCGCCUAGAGGUAAACGGGUGGAUCCGCAAAGUCGGUCCGCGAAAUUCAGCUCGGAAGGCUGGUCGCAGGUGGUNAGGUCGAGAUCUCUUGCGGACUCUCCUGCUNCUUGUACGCUGGCUUGACGUGUGCACUUUUCGCGGGCAGAGCGCCACGACCGGUUUCUGGGCAGUCAGAAGGCGGCGAGGAAGGUAGGUGGGCGCUUCGGCGUUUACUGUUAUAGCCUCGCUUGUCCCGAUCUGCUCGGAGACCGAGGAGCCGCCGCUUGGGCAAUGGGCUAUCCUGCUCUCCUUGGGGGUUCGACAGGCAGAGACUGGGANACCGUGUCUGCCGACCGCCUCUUCGGACGGACGGGGGUGCUUUGAGUCCGCCCAAGCAUAGGGUCGGUGGCGAAUCGGUCGGCACUCCACCCGACCCGUCUUGAAA
Molecule: ribosomal RNA, 462 nt
Filed under: Cyclophorus sp. NHMUK 20140503/2
Lineage: Eukaryota; Metazoa; Mollusca; Gastropoda; Architaenioglossa; Cyclophoridae
Description: partial 28S ribosomal RNA
Rfam family: Eukaryotic large subunit ribosomal RNA
Source: RNAcentral